GGACUACAAGGGUAUCUAAUCCUGUUUGCUCCCCUAGCUUUCGUGCAUCAGCGUCAGUUAUGGUCCAGUGAGCCGCUUUCGCCACAGGUGUUCCUCCUGAUAUCUACGCAUUUCACCGCUACACCAGGAAUUCCACUCACCUCUCCCACACUCAAGCCCGGCAGUUUCUCGUGCAGACUCUGAGUUGAGCCCAGAGAUUUCACACAAGACUUACCAAACCGCCUACGCACCCUUUACGCCCAAUAAUUCCGAACAACGCUCGCCCCCCUCGUAUUACCGCGGCGGCUGGCAC
This 292-nucleotide ribosomal RNA is filed under the name uncultured Acidobacteriota bacterium. Its description in RNAcentral is "uncultured Acidobacteria bacterium partial 16S ribosomal RNA". The record is from RNAcentral. Lineage: Bacteria; Pseudomonadati; Acidobacteriota.